UUUUCAUGGCACCAAUCAACCAUUUUGCAAAUCAUGGAUUGAGUCUUUGACAAAUAAACAACACAUGGAUCCACAAGAUGCAAUGACAUACUGAAACCAAGGAUCCAUGCUAACAAUAAGCUUAGACAUUCAAACCAAAUUUGACCCCACAUAAUAGUUUUCUGUUGAAUCCAUGAUUUGAUCCUUAGCAAAUCGUGAAUAGUAUAAAUUGGAAGCUGAGUUGUGACUGAACUGUGUCAGAAUGUAUCAAUAAUAGUGAUGAAGAAUUUAAUGUGUGAUUUUAUCCACUGUUGGAUGGAAUGUACUGGAUGAAAAUCUAGGUUUUGAUUUAUUGCAUGCCCGUAGUAAGCUAGUAGACAGGUUGUGCAUUUAUGAGCUAGAAUGGCGUUAUUUGUUGUGAUAUCACGACAGGGUGACUGGGUGCAAGUCCCCAGGAAUCAGUCAGGUGUGACAUUUUACCAUAGGGAACACAGAUGUUUGAUGUGGUGUUAUCAACUAAAUAGUUAAUGGUUAGGUCAGAUUGUAAGUUUAUCUCCGACAAUAUAAUGGAUUUAACUUGACUUUGAUCACAAAAUACUGGUUGUACUGUAUGUUAUUGCUUAUGUUGACUUUCAUCUUAGCUGUCAAAACAAACCUGAUUGAUGAUGUUGGAAAGUGUCAUUCAUCAAGUUUAAUGUGGUGUUAUAUGUGGACCAGAAAACAGCAUGAUUAUCUAUUAUCUCGAAACUUAAUUUAUUAUUUUUCAUAUUUUAAUCUUUUUAGAAAAAAAGAAAAUUUGAAAACUUGAUGUGCCUUAAAUAAAUGUUCAGUGCAGAAGGUUGAGUUGUUUGCUUCUCUUGUCACUUUGUUUUUUGUUUGGAUUAUAAACUAUUGACAACAGGUGAACUUAGUUCAGUUUAAGUGAUUAAAUCAAAAUUAUUACAAUAUAUGGUCGGUGUUUUAACUGCUAUGUAAUGUAGGAUAUUUGCUAUGAGAACACUAACAAGAAUUAACUUCUGUCAAUGAAAGUGUUCACUCAUCAGUUUUUAUAGUUGCCAUGGCUAUACUGUGCACUUAGUGUUUUAGACAAUCUUCACUUGUUGCAGUUUGUAAGUUAGGAUAUGGAGUUUCUUUCCAUCUUUAACACAUGGGUAUAUAAAACUAAUUGAGAAGGAGAAACACUGUGGAUACAACUUUGAGAAGAUGGGGUUGUUUAGGCUUCAGUGAUACAAAAGGUGUUGCUAAAAGGGGCAUAAACUGACUCACUCACUGAUACAAAAGGAUGAACCCAUUUACUUAUACAACAACAAAUUGGAAGUCAGAUGUGAGUACAUAUUACAUCAUAUCACUGGUUGUUAUUUCUGUGUUUUUUAUUUAUGUAUACAAAGAAAUGCAUCCUUAUUGGAAGCGUCUUACAUCUGUGCCUGUUUGAAGUGCCUAGUAGCUUCAUGCUGACAUAGGGGCAGGAGUGUGGCCUUCUGGCUAAAGUUUUUAUGAAAGGCUCCAAAGGUUAUAUGAAAGGCUCGGGUUCAAUUCCCUCUAUAAGUACAACGCAUGAAGCCCAGGUGUCCACGACCAUGAUAUUGCAGGAAUAUUGCUAACAGUGAGGUAAAGCCAUACUCAUACUUCCUAAUGGUAACAAACACGAUAUUACACUGGAAGUGAUUGGUAAACUUCAGCAUUGGAGCUCAGCUUUGGUGCCAGUUAAUGUUUAUGUAUUUGCAUAAUGGCAACAACCAUCAUGACAGACUUUGAGUUAAAUUGUGAUAAAAAUAACAAACCGUCCAGAAACGUUGCCUUCAGAAUUUACAGUUCAAUGACUACAGUUGCCUUACUGUUUUAUCAUCCCGUCCGUUGUAUGUUCCAUUGUUUUGGGUACAGUUAGGAGGAUGAGGAUGUUAUGUGAUCACAAUUCAUAUCAAAUGUCAUUCAUAUAUCAUGAGAAUAGUGUUAGUAAGAUCUGUUUUAUAAUUGUCAAUAAGAAUGUAGUUCUAUUUUCUACAAAUAUGGUUGUUUAAUAAAUAGUAUUCUUAUACACUAAAA
This 2022-nucleotide long non-coding RNA is filed under the name Haliotis rubra (blacklip abalone). Its description in RNAcentral is "uncharacterized LOC124262698". The record is from RNAcentral. Lineage: Eukaryota; Metazoa; Mollusca; Gastropoda; Lepetellida; Haliotidae.